RNAcentral lists this ribosomal RNA (995 nucleotides) under uncultured bacterium. RNAcentral's name for it is "bacterial SSU rRNA". It matches the Rfam family "Bacterial small subunit ribosomal RNA", at positions 56 to 1046 of the family's 1533-position model. The record is from RNAcentral.
UGCAGUCGANCGGCAGCGCGGGGCAACCUGGCGGCGAGUGGCGAACGGGUGAGUAAUAUAUCGGAACGUACCCUGGAGUGGGGGAUAACGUAGCGAAAGUUACGCUAAUACCGCAUACGAUCUAAGGAUGAAAGUGGGGGACGCGCAAGCACCUCAUGCUCCUGGAGCGGCCGAUAUUUGAUUAGCUAGUUGGUGGGGUAAAGGCCUACCAAGGCAUCGAUCAGUAGCUGGUCUGAGAGGACGACCAGCCACACUGGAACUGAGACACGGUCCAGACUCCUACGGGAGGCAGCAGUGGGGAAUUUUGGACAAUGGGCGAAAGCCUGAUCCAGCAAUGCCGCGUGAGUGAAGAAGGCCUUCGGGUUGUAAAGCUCUUUUGUCAGGGAAGAAACGGUCGUGGCUAAUAUCCAUGGCUAAUGACGGUACCUGAAGAAUAAGCACCGGCUAACUACGUGCCAGCAGCCGCGGUAAUACGUAGGGUGCAAGCGUUAAUCGGAAUUACUGGGCGUAAAGCGUGCGCAGGCGGUUUUGUAAGUCUGUCGUGAAAUCCCCGGGCUCAACCUGGGAAUUGCGAUGGAGACUGCAAGGCUAGAAUCUGGCAGAGGGGGGUAGAAUUCCACGUGUAGCAGUGAAAUGCGUAGAGAUGUGGAGGAACACCGAUGGCGAAGGCAGCCCCCUGGGUCAAGAUUGACGCUCAUGCACGAAAGCGUGGGGAGCAAACAGGAUUAGAUACCCUGGUAGUCCACGCCCUAAACGAUGUCUACUAGUUGUCGGGUUUUAAUUAACUUGGUAACGCAGCUAACGCGUGAAGUAGACCGCCUGGGGAGUACGGUCGCAAGANUAAAACUCAAAGGAAUUGACGGGGANCCGCACAAGCGGUGGAUGAUGUGGAUUAAUUCGAUGCAACGCGAAAAACCUUACCUACCCUUGACAUGUACGGAAGCCACGAGAGAUCGNNNCGUGCUCGAAAGAGAGCCGUAACACNGGUGCUGCAU